UACGCAGGGGGCGAGCGUUGUUCGGAAUUACUGGGCGUAAAGGGCGCGUAGGCGGCGACUCCAGUCAGAUGUGAAAGUCCUGGGCUUAACCUGGGGACUGCAUUUGAUACUGGGUUGCUUGAAUUCGGGAGAGGAUAGCGGAAUUCCCAGUGUAGAGGUGAAAUUCGUAGAUAUUGGGAAGAACACCGGUGGCGAAGGCGGCUAUCUGGACCGACAUUGACGCUGAGGCGCGAAAGCGUGGGGAGCAAACAGG
This 253-nucleotide ribosomal RNA is filed under the name uncultured bacterium. RNAcentral describes it as "partial 16S ribosomal RNA". It matches the Rfam family "Bacterial small subunit ribosomal RNA", at positions 524 to 776 of the family's 1533-position model. The record is from RNAcentral.